GACGAACGCUGGCGGCGUGCUUAACACAUGCAAGUCGAACGGAAAGGCCCUGCUUUUGUGGGUUGCUCGAGUGGCGAACGGGUGAGUAACACGUGAGUAACCUGCCCUUGACUUUGGGAUAACUUCAGGAAACUGGGGCUAAUACCGGAUAGGAGCUCCUGCUGCAUGGUGGGGGUUGGAAAGUUUCGGCGGUUGGGGAUGGACUCGCGGCUUAUCAGCUUGUUGGUGGGGUAGUGGCUUACCAAGGCUUUGACGGGUAGCCGGCCUGAGAGGGUGACCGGCGACAUUGGGACUGAGAGACGGCCCAGACGCCUACGGGAGGCAGCAGUGGGGAAUAUGGCACAAUGGGCGGAAGCCUGAUGCAGCAACGCCGCGUGCGGGAUGACGGCCUUCGGGUUGUAAACCGCUUUCGCCUGUGACGAAGCGGGAGUGACGGUAAUGGGUAAAGAAGCACCGGCUAACUACGUG
RNAcentral lists this ribosomal RNA (468 nucleotides) under uncultured bacterium. Its description in RNAcentral is "partial 16S ribosomal RNA". It matches the Rfam family "Bacterial small subunit ribosomal RNA", at positions 28 to 507 of the family's 1533-position model. The record is from RNAcentral.